RNAcentral lists this ribosomal RNA (381 nucleotides) under Trypanosyllis zebra. RNAcentral's name for it is "bacterial SSU rRNA". It matches the Rfam family "Eukaryotic small subunit ribosomal RNA", at positions 52 to 413 of the family's 1831-position model. The record is from RNAcentral. Lineage: Eukaryota; Metazoa; Annelida; Polychaeta; Phyllodocida; Syllidae.
UGCACGUGUAAGUACGAGCCAACUUGAAAAAAUACGGUGAGACUGCGGAAGGCUCAUUAUCUCAGUCGUAGUUCCUUAGAUCGUCCGCGACCUGUGGUAUAACUGUAGAAAAUCUAGAGCUAAUACAUGCACGAGUACAGCGCCGAUCCCCGGAGAGGCGCGCGUUUAUUAGACCAAGACCGGCGCCGGGGCCCCGUGUCCCGGCCACUCCGUGUUGACUCUGGAUAACAUUGCCGAUCGCCCGGCCUUGCUGCCGGCGACGUAUCUUUCAAAUGUCUGACCUAUCAGCUGGUUGGCCGUAGAGGUGACGGCCACGGGAUUGACGGGUAACGGGGAAUCAGGGUUUGAUUCCGGAGAGGGAGCCUGAGAAACGGCUACCAC